AUCCUCCCACCAUCCACAUGACCUCACUAAUAUGCCUGAAGAUCCUUUAAAGAAUGUCAUGUUUUUAAAAUUAUAUUGCAGCUGCUUUGAUAGAGAAAACGAGUAGUGUCAACAAGACUUUGCUUGUGGUGAUAAUGUGCAAUAAUAGUACAUAUGAGAUUCAAUUCUUAGUAUUUGAUCUUUUUUGAGAGGCACUUCUCCAACAUCACACGUUUAAAUGUUUCUAUUGAUUUUCAUGUCUAGAUUUAUUGUGAACAUAUAACCUCCAGUUAGCCUAAAGCAGCCUUUCUGAUUCCUUAAGCAAAACAAUCAGUUAGAAGGACUUAACAACAGUACUAUAAAUGAACAUGAGUGAGUUGUGAAAAAUAACCGUGUUUAUGUAGGCAUUUUAUGUUGCAACUUGUUGUCAACUGUUCAGUUUUCAGAAUACAUUAUUAUAGUAAAUGCCUUUCUCUGGGUCAAGUGAAACUGGUGUUAUCUUGAAAUUUCUUAAAAUGAUCUGCAAAUUAUUUAUCUAUAUAAAUUCUAUAUAUAGAGAGAUAAAGACAAAGAAAAUAACAUUUAUAGCUCUAUUGCUUCCCACAGCACAAUCCCACAGUGUACCUUUUCCAUAGGUUUAUGGUUAUUAUUUUUAACUAAUUAAAUAUUUUAUUUUUCAGAGGUUUAUGGUUAUUAUUGUUAACAAAUUAAACUAAUUUUUUUCAGAUCUUUAUAGUUCAUAUUUAAUUCUGACUUACUUAUUGAAUUCUACUUUAAGCAAGCAGGAAAAUCAACUGUGGAACUGAGAAAAUCCCAUAAUAUUCCCUCUACAAAAUUCACACUUGCUUUUCUGGAGGAACUAUCGGACAUUUUGUGUGAACUCUGCGUUGUUACUGUUGUUUUAUUCCUUCUUAUCUAAAAGUACUGACUUCAUUAUUUGAAAAUCUGUCCUCCUUGUUCUGCUUAUAGCCCUGAUUCUGCUCAAGCCUCCCCAAAUUCUUACUGGUGUGACUGUGUAUGACCGGAGCACCUGACUCUCAGCCCAGUACAUGUGUGUGCAUGGUACAACAAUGGAACAAUAAAUGGGAGGGAAGGGAGGGAAGAGCCAUCAAGGAAGACUGCCCAGAAAAGCUGAUGCUCGAGGCAAGACUUCUGGGGGAGAAGCAUGCCAAACCAGAAAAGGUAGGCAAGACCUUUCAAAACCAGGAAACAGGUAGUUGAAAUUAUAUAGCCGUAUGAGAGACUAUGCCAAUAUGGGUGAAAACUAGGGUACAUACAAGGAAGCAGUAGGAGGCAUGGGCCAAGGUCCAUUUCAUUUUCUGCCAUACCUCUUAUUUGACUUCACUAUGAUAUAAUAUGAUCAUUUCAUGCUGAUCCUAUAAUCCUUCAGUUGUAUCCCAUCACAGUCAGAUAUAUAUUUUGGAAAUGUUGGGAGUAAGUGUGUUCAACAGAAGAAAGGCAGUCUCAGGAAUUUGAAAUUACCCUGUAUAUUUUCAUUAUGUCUUUAUUUCCUUAAAAUAUCACCUUAGUCCCCAUUCUCUGAGGGCUGGUUCUGACCUUGGCCUUCUCUUUAUUGGCCUUGCAAUUGUCUCCUCUCUGGUUUCCCUGACUCUCCUCCUUUCCUUCUCCAAUUUAAUCUUCCCAUUCAUUCUUAAAAACACAAAUUGAAUCAUGUCACUCCUUAAAUUUUUCAAUGCUACCAACUAUAGAAUAAAAUAUUAGCUCUUUAGAUUGACA
This 1716-nucleotide long non-coding RNA is filed under the name Sus scrofa (pig). RNAcentral's name for it is "lncRNA (ENSSSCG00030052236.1)". The record is from RNAcentral. Lineage: Eukaryota; Metazoa; Chordata; Mammalia; Artiodactyla; Suidae.